AACGAACGCUGGCGGCAGGCUUAACACAUGCAAGUCGAGCGCCCCGCAAGGGGAGCGGCAGACGGGUGAGUAACGCGUGGGAAUCUACCCAUCACUACGGAACAACUCCGGGAAACUGGAGCUAAUACCGUAUACGUCCUUCGGGAGAAAGAUUUAUCGGUGAUGGAUGAGCCCGCGUUGGAUUAGCUAGUUGGUGGGGUAAUGGCCUACCAAGGCGACGAUCCAUAGCUGGUCUGAGAGGAUGAUCAGCCACACUGGGACUGAGACACGGCCCAGACUCCUACGGGAGGCAGCAGUGGGGAAUAUUGGACAAUGGGCGCAAGCCUGAUCCAGCCAUGCCGCGUGAGUGAUGAAGGCCCUAGGGUUGUAAAGCUCUUUCAACGGUGAAGAUAAUGACGGUAACCGUAGAAGAAGCCCCGGCUAACUUCGUGCCAGCAGCCGCGGUAAUACGAAGGGGGCUAGCGUUGUUCGGAUUUACUGGGCGUAAAGCGCACGUAGGCGGAUUGUUAAGUUAGGGGUGAAAUCCCAGGGCUCAACCCUGGAACUGCCUUUAAUACUGGCAAUCUCGAGUCCGGAAGAGGUGAGUGGAAUUCCGAGUGUAGAGGUGAAAUUCGUAGAUAUUCGGAGGAACACCAGUGGCGAAGGCGGCUCACUGGUCCGGUACUGACGCUGAGGUGCGAAAGCGUGGGGAGCAAACAGG
This 700-nucleotide ribosomal RNA is filed under the name uncultured Alphaproteobacteria bacterium. RNAcentral describes it as "bacterial SSU rRNA". It matches the Rfam family "Bacterial small subunit ribosomal RNA", at positions 28 to 776 of the family's 1533-position model. The record is from RNAcentral. Lineage: Bacteria; Pseudomonadati; Pseudomonadota; Alphaproteobacteria.